This 421-nucleotide ribosomal RNA is filed under the name uncultured Micromonas. RNAcentral describes it as "partial Bacterial large subunit ribosomal RNA". It matches the Rfam family "Bacterial large subunit ribosomal RNA", at positions 1646 to 2092 of the family's 2925-position model. The record is from RNAcentral. Lineage: Eukaryota; Viridiplantae; Chlorophyta; Mamiellophyceae; Mamiellales.
ACCCUAAACCGACACAGGUGAACGAGUUGAAUAGACUCAGGUGAUGAGAGAACCACAUUGAAGGAACUCGGCAAAAUAUUCCCGUACCUUAGGAAGAAGGGAAACCAAGUAUGGUGACACAAAAAAAGGGGUGACGACUUUUUACUAAAAAAUUAGGACUCUGCAAAAUGGUAACAUGAAGUAUAGGGUCUGACGUCUGCCCGGUGCUAGAAGUUUAAAAGGAGUGUUGAAAGAUACAAAUGGAAAGCCUAGUAAACGGCGGUUGUAACUAUAACAAUCAUAAAGUAGCGAAAUUCAUUGCCAGCUAAUUCCUGGCCUGCAUGAAAGACGUAACGAUUGCCCCACUGUCUCCAGUGUGGACUCAGUGAAAUUGAAUUCUCCGUGCAGAUGCGGAGUACGUGCCCCAAGACGAGAAGACCCU